RNAcentral lists this long non-coding RNA (207 nucleotides) under Elaeis guineensis (African oil palm). RNAcentral describes it as "long non-coding RNA (EGUI_LNC037265)". The record is from RNAcentral. Lineage: Eukaryota; Viridiplantae; Streptophyta; Magnoliopsida; Arecales; Arecaceae.
UGGUCAAAUAAGACAAAAAAUUGUAAUCAAGAAAAAUGUAAUCACUGAAGAAGCCAAAUAUGUGAACUUGCAAGUCUUUUAAUAUCCAAACAACACAAUCAUUCAUGAUACUAAAAAAACUCAAAAAUAUAGGACUCAAUAAAUAUCGAAACAAACACCCAUUCAAUGUAAUUAUUGUGCAAGCCAGACAGCUUGGAGUCAACCAAG